This 417-nucleotide ribosomal RNA is filed under the name uncultured Prochlorococcus sp. RNAcentral's name for it is "bacterial SSU rRNA". It matches the Rfam family "Bacterial small subunit ribosomal RNA", at positions 32 to 496 of the family's 1533-position model. Lineage: Bacteria; Bacillati; Cyanobacteriota; Cyanophyceae; Synechococcales; Prochlorococcaceae. The record is from RNAcentral.
AACGCUGGCGGCGUGCUUAACACAUGCAAGUCGAACGAACCUUCGGGUUAGUGGCGGACGGGUGAGUAACGCGUGAGAAUCUGCCCUCAGGAGGGGGACAACGGUUGGAAACGACCGCUAAUACCCCAUAUGCCUAUUGGUGAAAUGAAUUUCGCCUGAGGAUGAGCUCGCGUCUGAUUAGCUAGUUGGUGUGGUAAUGGCUCACCAAGGCUUCGAUCAGUAGCUGGUCUGAGAGGAUGAUCAGCCACACUGGGACUGAGACACGGCCCAGACUCCUACGGGAGGCAGCAGUGGGGAAUUUUCCGCAAUGGGCGCAAGCCUGACGGAGCAACGCCGCGUGAGGGACGAAGGCCUCUGGGCUGUAAACCUCUUUUCUCAAGGAAGAAGAUAUGACGGUACUUGAGGAAUAAGCCACGG